RNAcentral lists this ribosomal RNA (653 nucleotides) under uncultured bacterium. Its description in RNAcentral is "bacterial SSU rRNA". It matches the Rfam family "Bacterial small subunit ribosomal RNA", at positions 202 to 842 of the family's 1533-position model. The record is from RNAcentral.
AAAAGGUGGCUAUGCUACCGCUUUUGGAUGCCGCCGCGGCGCAUUAGCUAGUUGGUGGGGUAAAGGCUUACCAAGGCAAUGAUGCGUAGCCGAACUGAGAGGUUGAUCAGCCACAUUGGGACUGAGACACGGCCCAAACUCCUACGGGAGGCAGCAGUAGGGAAUCUUCCACAAUGGGCGAAAGCCUGAUGGAGCAACGCCGCGUGGGUGAAGAAGGUCUUCGGAUCGUAAAACCCUGUUGUUAGAGAAGAAAGUGCGUGAGAGUAACUGUUCACGUUUCGACGGUAUCUAACCAGAAAGCCACGGCUAACUACGUGCCAGCAGCCGCGGUAAUACGUAGGUGGCAAGCGUUAUCCGGAUUUAUUGGGCGUAAAGGGAACGCAGGCGGUCUUUUAAGUCUGAUGUGAAAGCCUUCGGCUUAACCGGAGUAGUGCAUUGGAAACUGGGAGACUUGAGUGCAGAAGAGGAGAGUGGAACUCCAUGUGUAGCGGUGAAAUGCGUAGAUAUAUGGAAGAACACCAGUGGCGAAAGCGGCUCUCUGGUCUGUAACUGACGCUGAGGUUCGAAAGCGUGGGUAGCAAACAGGAUUAGAUACCCUGGUAGUCCACGCCGUAAACGAUGAAUGCUAAGUGUUGGAGGGUUUCCGCCCUUCA